CCUACGGGAGGCAGCAGUGGGGAAUAUUGGACAAUGGGGGGAACCCUGAUCCAGCCAUGCCGCGUGUGUGAAGAAGGCCCUCGGGUUGUAAAGCACUUUCAGUGAGGAAGAACGCCUGGUGGUUAAUACCCAUCAGGAAAGACAUCACUCACAGAAGAAGCACCGGCUAACUCCGUGCCAGCAGCCGCGGUAAUACGGAGGGUGCGAGCGUUAAUCGGAAUUACUGGGCGUAAAGCGCGCGUAGGUGGCUUGAUAAGCCGGUUGUGAAAGCCCCGGGCUCAACCUGGGAACGGCAUCCGGAACUGUCGAGCUAGAGUGUAGGAGAGGAAGGUGGAAUUCCCGGUGUAGCGGUGAAAUGCGUAGAGAGCGGGAGGAAGACCAGUGGCGAAGGCGGCCUCCUGGACUAACACUGACACUGAGGUGCGAAAUCGUGGGUAGCAAACAGGAUUAGAUACCCUAGUAGUC
RNAcentral lists this ribosomal RNA (465 nucleotides) under Vreelandella stevensii. Its description in RNAcentral is "partial 16S ribosomal RNA". It matches the Rfam family "Bacterial small subunit ribosomal RNA", at positions 338 to 795 of the family's 1533-position model. The record is from RNAcentral. Lineage: Bacteria; Pseudomonadati; Pseudomonadota; Gammaproteobacteria; Oceanospirillales; Halomonadaceae.